CACCCGAACCUACUUUCAUAACCGAGCCUCCACCCUCAUCUCCUGCUCACUCCGCAGACAAUGAAGAACCUUUUCUUGGUGGGGANCCUCACCUCCACCCUCAUCUCCUGCUCACUCCGCAGACAAUGAAGAACCGUUUCUUGGUGGGGAGAACAUGACAUUUGAUUCGGUCUAUUACAGUCUGUAUCAGAUGCAAAGUGAUGAUGACGAUGAUGCUCCUGUCACCAAGAAGCAUCUCAAGGAGCUUCACGAGAAGAUUGAUUCUCUCAUUGCUUCGUCUUUUUCUUCCUCAUAGUCUACCAUCUUCGAGGCUGCUAUUCAGGGGAUUGUUGAUGCUUUCAUUAAGGCUCAUGAAGCCUCCAUUAGCUCAGCCUCUGCCGCUAUUAACGCCUCCACCAAGGCAUGUGCUGCUGCGACCGAAAAAGUCAAAAAACUAUUUGUUGACGCUUCUUCUAUUUUGCAGUCUUUACAGGGAACUGCUAAUUCCAACGCAGAGAGGCUUGACUCUCUUGUCAACCAGAUUGCUACCUCGGUUGCCUCUGAACUGCAAUCGUUUGCCAGUCUUUGUCAAGCUCUCACUGAUGACAACUCAUCGUUUAAGGCGACUAUUGACGAGCGCCUAACUAAGAUACAAGAAAAUCUAGCUGUCGAGAACUCACUCAUGGACGCUCUCGCUCGAAAGACCACUGCUCUCAAGGUCAAGAAUCUUCAACUCUCCAAUUCUCAAAAGGAGAUUGAAUCUCUUCGAUCUGAACGAGAGAUUGUUUCUUCAUGUGUUUC
RNAcentral lists this long non-coding RNA (780 nucleotides) under Lactuca sativa (garden lettuce). RNAcentral describes it as "long non-coding RNA (LSAT_LNC005411)". Lineage: Eukaryota; Viridiplantae; Streptophyta; Magnoliopsida; Asterales; Asteraceae. The record is from RNAcentral.